CAAUAGCGUAUAUUAAAGUUGUUGCGGUUAAAAAGCUCGUAGUUGGAUUUCUGUCUGAGGCGGCCGGUCCACUUUCUGAGUGAGCAUCUGGUCCGCUUUGGGCAUCCUCCUGGGGAACGUUUCCGCGCUUGAUUGUGUGGUACGGAAUCUAGGACUUUUACUUUGAGGAAAUUAGAGUGUUCACUGCAGGCAUACGCCUUGAAUACGUUAGCAUGGAAUAAUAAGAUAGGACCUCGGUUCUAUUUUUUCGGUUUCUAGAGCUGAGGUAAUGAUUAACAGGGAUAGUUGGGGGCAUUAGUAUUUAAUUGUCAGAGGUGGAAUUCUCAGAUUUGUUAAAGACUAACCUAUGCGAAAGCAUUUGCCAAGGAUGUUUUCAUUAAUCAAGAACGAAAGUUAGGGGAUCAAAGAUGAUUAGAUACCAU
This 422-nucleotide ribosomal RNA is filed under the name uncultured eukaryote. RNAcentral's name for it is "SSU rRNA". It matches the Rfam family "Eukaryotic small subunit ribosomal RNA", at positions 592 to 1018 of the family's 1831-position model. The record is from RNAcentral.